Molecule: ribosomal RNA, 440 nt
Filed under: uncultured bacterium
Lineage: Bacteria
Description: partial 16S ribosomal RNA
Rfam family: Bacterial small subunit ribosomal RNA
Source: RNAcentral
CCUACGGGAGGCAGCAGUGAGGAAUAUUGCACAAUGGGGGAAACCCUGAUGCAGCAACGCCGCGUGGAGGAUGAAGGUUUUCGGAUUGUAAAGCCCUAUCGUCAGAGAAGAUAAUGACGGUAUCUAACGAAUAAGCCCCGGCUAACUCCGUGCCAGCAGCCGCGGUAAUACGGAGGGUGCAAGCGUUACCCGGAUUUACUGGGUGUAAAGGGAGCGUAGGCGGGAGAGCAAGUCUGAAGUGAAAUGCUAUGGCUUAACCAUAGAACUGCUUUUGAAACUGUUAGUCUAGAGUGUAGGAGAGGUAAGUGGAAUUCUUGGUGUAGGGGUGAAAUGCGUAGAGAUCAGGAGGAAUACUCGUGGCGAAGGCGACCUGCUGGAACAUAACUGACGCUGAUGCGCGAAAGCGUGGGGAGCAAACAGGAUUAGAUACCCGUGUAGUC